GAUGAACGCUGGCGGCGUGCCUAAUACAUGCCAGUCGAGCGAACGGACGAGAAGCUUGCUUCUCUGAUGUUAGCGGCGGACGGGUGAGUAACACGUGGAUAACCUACCUAUAAGACUGGGAUAACUUCGGGAAACCGGAGCUAAUACCGGAUGAUAUUUUGAACCGCAUGGUUCAAAAGUGAAAGACGGUCUUGCUGUCACUUAUAGAUGGAUCCGCGCUGCAUUAGCUAGUUGGUAAGGUAACGGCUUACCAAGGCAACGAUGCAUAGCCGACCUGAGAGGGUGAUCGGCCACACUGGAACGGAGACACGGUCCAGACUCCUACGGGAGGCAGCAGUAGGGAAUCUUCCGAAAUGGGCGAAAGCCUGACGGAGCAACGCCGCGUGAGUGAUGAAGGUAUUCGGAUCGUAAAACUCUGUUAUUAGGGAAGAACAUAUGUGUAAGUAACUGUGCACAUCUUGACGGUACCUAAUCAGAAAGCCACGGCUAACUACGUG
RNAcentral lists this ribosomal RNA (497 nucleotides) under uncultured bacterium. RNAcentral's name for it is "partial 16S ribosomal RNA". It matches the Rfam family "Bacterial small subunit ribosomal RNA", at positions 28 to 507 of the family's 1533-position model. The record is from RNAcentral.